Molecule: long non-coding RNA, 631 nt
Organism: Oryzias melastigma (Indian medaka)
Lineage: Eukaryota; Metazoa; Chordata; Actinopteri; Beloniformes; Adrianichthyidae
Exons: 2
Source: RefSeq, a predicted model, not a curated record
GAAGGGUGACAGUACAACCCCCUGUGGCACACCUGUGCUGUUAUCACUCUUCAUCAGGUAGUCCUUAGUCCUCAACCCAGGACCAUCUAAAAGUGAAUGGCUUCAUCUGUGUCUUCUGGACUUUAUUACACAGUAAACUAAACAGGUUUAAAAACAUACUAAAGAGAAAACUUUAAGAAAUGUACUCACUUUCUUAAGCAAGUAUGUGAUGGUAUCAUCAAUUCCAAAUCCACAACAAAUUAGCUGCAGUGAGACCUGUAAGGGGUUUGUUUGUUUAGCUGAUCCAGUGUGAGUCUACCUACAAUUUUGAGGAUAUGCGUUGCUAUGGUAACAGGUCAACAGUCAUUAAACCCAGAUGAAAAACAUUUCUUUGGUACCUGAACAAGUACUUCACCAUUCCUUUACAAACCUCGUUGGUACUUCAUGGAGUACUACUCGCAUCAGUCCCUUCUGAGCUCUCCUGGAGGUGGUGGGCCCCCUGGAGAGCGAUCCCACCUCACUUCUUCGGGCUUGACCUGACCAGGGCCUGUGGGAGGAGCCCGGUCACCAGGCUCUCAACUGCAAGUCCCAACCCCAGGCCUGGCUCCAGGGUGUGGCCCUGGUGACAUCAAUCCGGGCAACGUUAAUAAAU